GAUGAACGCUGGCGGCGUGCUUAACACAUGCAAGUCGAACGGUGAACACGGAGCUUGCUCUGUGGGAUCAGUGGCGAACGGGUGAGUAACACGUGAGCAACCCGCCCCUGACUCUGGGAUAAGCGCUGGAAACGGCGUCUAAUACUGGAUAUGUGACGUGACCGCAUGGUCUGCGUUUGGAAAGAUUUUUCGGUUGGGGAUGGGCUCGCGGCCUAUCAGCUUGUUGGUGAGGUAAUGGCUCACCAAGGCGUCGACGGGUAGCCGGCCUGAGAGGGUGACCGGCCACACUGGGACUGAGACACGGCCCAGACUCCUACGGGAGGCAGCAGUGGGGAAUAUUGCACAAUGGGCGCAAGCCUGAUGCAGCAACGCCGCGUGAGGGAUGACGGCCUUCGGGUUGUAAACCUCUUUUAGCAGGGAAGAAGCGAAAGUGACGGUACCUGCAGAAAAAGCGCCGGCUAACUACGUG
Molecule: ribosomal RNA, 469 nt
Filed under: uncultured bacterium
Lineage: Bacteria
Description: partial 16S ribosomal RNA
Rfam family: Bacterial small subunit ribosomal RNA
Source: RNAcentral